Molecule: ribosomal RNA, 445 nt
Filed under: uncultured bacterium
Lineage: Bacteria
Description: partial 16S ribosomal RNA
Rfam family: Bacterial small subunit ribosomal RNA
Source: RNAcentral
GUAGGGAAUAUUGGUCAAUGGUCGCAAGACUGAACCAGCCAUGCCGCGUGCAGGAUGAAGCAUCUAUGGUGUGUAAACUGCUUUUGUACGGGAAGAAACACUGCUACGUGUAGCAGCUUGACGGUACCGUAAGAAUAAGGAUCGGCUAACUCCGUGCCAGCAGCCGCGGUAAUACGGAGGAUCCAAGCGUUAUCCGGAAUCAUUGGGUUUAAAGGGUCCGUAGGCGGCUUUAUAAGUCAGUGGUGAAAUCCGGCAGCUUAACUGUCGAAUUGCCAUUGAUACUGUAGGGCUUGAAUUGUUGUGAAGUAACUAGAAUAUGUAGUGUAGCGGUGAAAUGCUUAGAUAUUACAUGGAAUACCAAUUGCGAAGGCAGGUUACUAACAAUACAUUGACGCUGAUGGACGAAAGCGUGGGUAGCGAACAGGAUUAGAUACCCCUGUAGUCC